Non-coding RNA from Gasterosteus aculeatus aculeatus (three-spined stickleback), 1270 nucleotides. The record is from RefSeq and is a predicted model, not a curated record. NCBI's taxonomy places the organism in Eukaryota, Metazoa, Chordata, Actinopteri, Perciformes, Gasterosteidae.
UAUGUUUUGUGCAUUCAUCAUUUGUACAAUAGAGUGAAUUAGACACAUUGCUGAGUACAUAUAACUUGUUUUAAUUAAAUAUAAAAUCCACAAUUACAAUAAAUACAUUUACUAUUUUAAAUAAGCCAUACCUGUGUUUUGAUGGUUUGGUAAGCUGGGUUUAAAAAGGAGUAAUUGGUACUUACAAUCAUCUUUAUAUUACUAAACUACUAAACCUCCAAAAUUUGGAGUUUGCAAGUUUCCAUUUACAUACAAAACUUUCGAAAGUCAAUUAACCAAAUAUUUAUUUAAAAAUAUGCUUUCAUUGGUACACAGUAAAUUAAACCACAGCCAUUUGUUGAGCUAAAGCCCAAAUCCUCCGUUUUCAAUCCCAUUAAACUGGCAAAAUAAUGUAGUACAUAGUAUGAAGACUAUUGAGAAUUCUAGGUUUGUUCUCAAAAUCUUGACUUUCUGAUACUUAGGUAAACAUAUUUUGAAUAAAAAAAGUCUUAAUUAAGUUUGUUUGCCAGCAGGGAGGUCACCGUGGAGUUGGUGGGAGAAGAUGAAUUUGUCAACAAAAACAUCUAUGAGAGCAGUCCUGGCACGGUCAGGGUGAAGACCGUGGUGGGAGAGACAGAAAACACCUAUGAGAGCACUCUGGACAUGGUCCGGUAGGAAAACGCACAAACGUUUCUGCUGCAGUAACUCAGUACUUCUUCCAACACUGAUAAAUACGUUUUGUUUGUUCAUCAGGAGCAAAGACGACAUGAAUGCUUACGACAACCUGGUGAUGGACGGCACUGAAGACAAAGUUACCUCCAUGUGACCGUCCCGCAGUGAUCCUGUUGUCUGAACAUCGUCCCCACAGACUCAGGACAAAAUUCUUUUCUAUGGAACAAAAAUCCCAUUUAAUGAUGUUUUUCUUGAUGAAUGUCGUCUUAGUUUUGUCGUAUCUGUUCUCUCUGGUGGGUGAAGCUGGGAAUCAGAAUUUAUUAUUUUUUUUAUUCAACUUAUAUCAGUAAGCAUAAAAUGCGUCAUUAUAAAACUGUCUAUCCUGUGAUCCUGAUGAAUAAGUUAUCGUUCCUUACAAACUGCUGUGUGGGUUCUUGUUACUGAUCAAUGAAAGAAUGACUUGUGAUUAAUAAUUACACUCUGCCGGAACUCGCCCAUUUUUACAAAAAAUGUUAGUUCAGGUGUCUGUAAUAGCAGUCGUAGCGCCUCCUUGACGGUUCAUUGAGUUGACCCCUGAUCACCAGAUUAUAAUUAAUAUAUAAAAGACUCCAGCAAGGUG